Elaeis guineensis (African oil palm) is the source of this 755-nucleotide non-coding RNA. NCBI's taxonomy places the organism in Eukaryota, Viridiplantae, Streptophyta, Magnoliopsida, Arecales, Arecaceae. The record is from RefSeq and is a predicted model, not a curated record.
GGCAGAAAGAGAUGAUUAAGUGGAAAAAUUACCAUUCCAGUAGAUUGUUAGAAUGAAAAUUUUCGUUAAAAUAAAAGAGAAAGGAGCAUUGGUUUGCAAAAGAAAAAAUAAAAGAGAAAGGAGCUAGUUGGAGAGAGAACAAAGCAAAUUGAUUCAAUAAAUGGAACCUCGACAUCAUGCUGCUUGUUGCUCUCAAUGGCAUUCAUGCAAUAAACUCAUGUGACCAUGGAUUUGAUGCAAGAAAUAGAAGAGCCAAGAUUCCAUUUCAGGAACAUGUUUGCUGCUAAUCUCACUGAUAGAUGCAUGUGUCUUCUUCUGCUGUUGAGAAGCAUCAUCAACAAUAUCUAUAUUGUGGCAUCAUAUAAAGAAUAUGGUAAGAAAAAUGAGAAGAUGGAUCCAUGACAGCUAGAGAUGAAUAAAGAAGGGCUAUUGGAUUAGAAGUCUUCUUCCCAAAUGACUCCUCAACGGAGUCGAAAAUCCUCCAUGGGGAGGAGUGGAACUCCUCCCCUUCAGCCCUAUUUAAAGGGGAGGGGUCUUCCCUCUUCCUCCCAUCAAGAACCGAAGGCCCAAUUCGGCGGGGAUCACCGGAAAUUUCUUCACGGAAGCCCUUUACCAUGCCCGCCUGAAAUCGAUUGCCAGAGCUCAAGCUGCUUCCUUUCAGAGCGACAAAGAACAGCCUCACCGUGUACAGAACUCUCCAUUGCCAUCAGAGCCAAAGGAAAAUCUUCACCAAGCUUCUGUUCUGAAGCUGGAGG